Molecule: ribosomal RNA, 253 nt
Filed under: uncultured bacterium
Lineage: Bacteria
Description: partial 16S ribosomal RNA
Rfam family: Bacterial small subunit ribosomal RNA
Source: RNAcentral
UACGUAGGGGGCAAGCGUUAUCCGGAUUUACUGGGUGUAAAGGGGGCGCAGACGGCGAUGCAAGCCAGGAGUGAAAGCCCGGGGCCCAACCCCGGGACUGCUCUUGGAACUGCGUGGCUGGAGUGCAGGAGGGGCAGGCGGAAUUCCUGGUGUAGCGGUGAAAUGUGUAGAUAUCAGGAGGAACACCGGUGGCGAAGGCGGCCUGCUGGACUGCAACUGACGUUGAGGCCCGAAAGCGUGGGGAGCAAACAGG